Molecule: ribosomal RNA, 1236 nt
Filed under: metagenome
Description: bacterial LSU rRNA
Rfam family: Bacterial large subunit ribosomal RNA
Source: RNAcentral
ACGAGACGCUAAGGCGUUGAAGCAGUGUACGUCAGACUUCCAAGAAAAGCUCGCAAUGUCAUAAAUAAAAAUGCCUGUACCAUAACCGACACAGGUGGGUAGGUAGAGUAUACUAAGGGGCGCGAGAUAACUCUCUCUAAGGAACUCGGCAAAAUGACUCCGUAACUUCGGGAGAAGGAGUGCCUUAUUUAUAAGGUUGCAAUAACAAGAUCCAAGCAACUGUUUAUCAAAAACACAGGUCUCCGCUAAGUCGUAAGACGAUGUAUGGGGGCUGACGCCUGCCCAGUGCCAGAAGGUUAAAGAAGUUGGUUAGUGUAUGCGAAGCUGAUGACUGAAGCCCUGGUGAACGGCGGCCGUAACUAUAACGGUCCUAAGGUAGCGAAAUUCCUUGUCGGGUAAGUUCCGACCCGCACGAAAGGCGUAAUGAUUUGGAUACUGUCUCGGAGAGAGGCUCGGUGAAAUAGACUUGUCUGUGAAGAUGCGGACUACCUGCACCAGGACAGAAAGACCCUAUGAAGCUUUACUGUAACUUGAAAUUGGAAUUGGACUUUGCUUGCGCAGUAUAGGUGGGAAGCGUUGAAGAUAUUCUUGCGGGAGUAUUGGAGCUAUCAGUGAGAUACCACUCUUGUAAUGUUAGAUUUCUAACUUUGAACCAUAAUCUGGUCAAAGAACAGUUUCAGGUGGGCAGUUUGACUGGGGCGGUCGCCUCCCAAAUGGUAACGGAGGCGUACAAAGGUUUCCUCUGAACGGAUAGAAAUCGUAUCUAGAGUGUAAAGGCAUAAGGAAGCUUGACUGUGAGACCUACAAGUCGAGCAGGGACGAAAGUCGGUCUUAGUGAUCUGACGGUACUGAGUGGAAAGGCCGUCACUCAACGGAUAAAAGUUACUCUAAGGAUAACAGGCUGAUCUCCCCCAAGAGUUCACAUCGACGGGGAGGUUUGGCACCUCGAUGUCGGCUCAUCGCAUCCUGGGGCGGUAGUACGUCCCAAGGGUUGGGCUGUUCGCCCAUGAAAGCGGUACGCGAGCUGGGUUCAGAACGUCGUGAGACAGUUCGGUCCAUAUCCGGUGUAGGCGUUAGAAUAUUGAGAGGAGCCUUCUUUAGUACGAGAGGACCGAGAAGGACACACCGCUGGUGUACCAGUUAUCGUGCCAACGGUAAACGCUGGGUAGCUAUGUGUGGAGUGGAUAACCGCUGAAAGCAUCUAAGUGGGAAGCCCACCUCAAGAUGAGUAUUCUC